This 258-nucleotide ribosomal RNA is filed under the name uncultured bacterium. RNAcentral describes it as "partial 16S ribosomal RNA". It matches the Rfam family "Bacterial small subunit ribosomal RNA", at positions 28 to 276 of the family's 1533-position model. The record is from RNAcentral.
GAUGAACGCUAGCUACAGGCUUAACACAUGCAAGUCGAGGGGCAGCAUUUCAGUUUGCUUGCAAACUGGAGAUGGCGACCGGCGCACGGGUGAGUAACACGUAUCCAACCUGCCGAUAACUCGGGGAUAGCCUUUCGAAAGAAAGAUUAAUACCCGAUGGUAUAAUCAGACCGCAUGGUCUUGUUAUUAAAGAAUUUCGGUUAUCGAUGGGGAUGCGUUCCAUUAGGCAGUUGGUGAGGUACGACGUCACCAACCUUA